UCCUUCUUUUUCUAGCGUUAAUCGGAAUUACUGGGCGUAAGGCGUGCGCAGGCGGAUUGUUAAGCAAGAUGUGAAAUCCCCGGGCUUAACCUGGGAAUGGCAUUUUGAACUGGCAGUCUAGAGUGUGUCAGAGGGGGGUGGAAUUCCACGUGUAGCAGUGAAAUGCGUAGAUAUGUGGAGGAACACCAAUGGCGAAGGCAGCCCCCUGGGAUAACACGGACGCUCAUGUACGAAAGCGUGGGUAGCAAACAGG
Molecule: ribosomal RNA, 253 nt
Filed under: uncultured bacterium
Lineage: Bacteria
Description: partial 16S ribosomal RNA
Rfam family: Bacterial small subunit ribosomal RNA
Source: RNAcentral